AAUCAAUCUGCAUUACGUCACCAGCCUGCCUCCCAGUCUUGCCCUUAGUUUCUUCAUUGGAGGAAACUUAAAAAAAAAAAAAAAAGAAGAAGAAGAAGAGGAAGGCGAAAGAAAGAAAGAAACCGAGGCCAGGGUUUCUAGACAGUGUCUUAGAGACCAGAAGCUAACUAAAAAAAAAAAAAAAAAAUCUUGGAUUCCUGAGUACGGAAUUUCGAGACUAGGAACCCGAGGAGAUACUCAGGAGACUCAGGUGAACAGAAAAAAGGGGUUUCGUAGAGGUGAGAGGAAGGGGCUCUGCACCUCUAAAGGUAACCCUUUUCCGCCGAUUUCCCGUGUUUCCCGAUGAUCUCACGUUGGUGCCAUCGUUUCACUGUUAUACUCUGGAACAGUCAUACUCUGGAACAGCACGAGGAGCCAAAUGCACUAUGAAGCCCAGCUAGAGAGGAUCCAAGUCGGGCGUAGCAUUAGCGGGCAAAUCCUCACGCAUUUGUUAACUGUGUUUGCUAGUACUCACGUUCCGUUCUGCAUCCCUUUCCCUGCAGUGUGGACACGCCAGAAAUUCAGGUGGAAACAGUGACUUGAGGCCGGCGCAUUCCUGUUCGUGACAAAACCACAGGCACAGACGCUGGUGUGCUCUACAUCUUUAGAACACAAACGUGCUGGAUCAGGCUUGGCACAUGACGCAAAGUGGGGGCGAGUCUGGAAUAUGAAUAAAUAAGAGCCUCCAUACUGUCUCUUUUUAAAUUUUUAUUUUUAUUUUAUGUGCAUUGGCGGGUUUGCCUGCAUGUAUGUCUGUGUGAGGAUGUCGUAUCCCAGGAAAUGUAGUGUACCCCAGGAAAUGUAGUUGCAAACAGUUGUAAGCUGCCAUGUGGUUGCUGGGAAUUGAACCCAGGUCCUCUGGAAGAACAGCCAGUGCUCCUAAUCACUGAGCCAUCAUCUCUCCAGCCCGGAGGCUCAAUACUUUCACUCCAGUGGGUGGCUGGUCGAUAACGUUAUUGCAUAAGCGUUUGGAUACAGUGCCCUUUUAGUGGAGUGACAAACGACACUACCUUUCUCUUCCUCCUGGGCAAAGAAGCAGCUGUGGUAGGAAUGAAGCCAGAGAAUGCUCCCAUCAGCUCCACACAGUGAUUCGAGCCCACGUGUGCUCACACCCUGUGACUGCCAACAGUCUAUCCGUGCUGCAGUCAAACUGCAUGGGUUUGAACUUUCUGGCUCACCAUCUGCACCGGCCAGGUCACAAAUGGAGGGCAGAGCAAUGGUACUGAGUUAUGAGUUGGCAAGUACCUCACUAUGUGUGUCUCAAAUUACAAGUAUAAUUAGAUUUUUGUUCACCUUUGACUGGCCUUUCUGAACAAUAAUUUCCACUUCUUCAUAUUAGUGAUAAAUGAUCCCACCCUUUGGGCUUGUUGUGAAUAUAUAUGAAAGUAUGCUGUAAAUGAUUACAUGUUAUACGUGCUAAUUACUGUGCUAGAAACUGAACUUGGAGCAUAGAGUUUUGUCAGGUUAUAGGUUUUUUUCUCCCCUAUAACCCACUCACCCCAUAACUACUUGGAUCUUUUAUGGUUAUAGUGAGUAGCUGACUAAGGGAAGCCUUUAGAAAUGUGUAGAGAGACAGGUAACUCAGCCUUAUCUUUAAUGGCUGAGAUAUUUCUCCAGCACAUGUAGGCCUCUGUGGUGACAGACCAAGUAAUUGUAUAUGGAUUUCUGUGGUUUUCUUUUUAAAAGAUUUAUUUAUUUAUUUAUUUAUUUAUUUAUUAUAUGUAAGUAUAC
Molecule: long non-coding RNA, 1770 nt
Filed under: Mus musculus (house mouse)
Lineage: Eukaryota; Metazoa; Chordata; Mammalia; Rodentia; Muridae
Description: RIKEN cDNA A730063M14 gene
Source: RNAcentral